GGGGAAUUUUGGACAAUGGACGCAAGUCUGAUCCAGCCAUGCCGCGUGCGGGAAGAAGGCCUUCGGGUUGUAAACCGCUUUUGUCGGGGAAGAAACGAGUUUCUCUAAUACAGAGACUUAAUGACGGUACCUGAAGAAUAAGCACCGGCUAACUACGUGCCAGCAGCAGCGGUAAUACGUAGGGUGCAAGCGUUAAUCGGAAUUACUGGGCGUAAAGCGUGCGCAGGCGGAUAUGCAAGACAGAAGUGAAAUCACCGGGCUCAACCUGGGAACUGCCUUUGUGACUGCAUAGCUAGAGUACGGUAGAGGGGGAUGGAAUUCCGCGUGUAGCAGUGAAAUGCGUAGAUAUGCGGAGGAACACCGAUGGCGAAAGCAAUCCCCUGGACCUGUACUGACGCUCAUGCACGAAAGCGUGGGGAGCAAACA
Molecule: ribosomal RNA, 426 nt
Filed under: uncultured bacterium
Lineage: Bacteria
Description: bacterial SSU rRNA
Rfam family: Bacterial small subunit ribosomal RNA
Source: RNAcentral